Molecule: long non-coding RNA, 1036 nt
Organism: Chenopodium quinoa (quinoa)
Lineage: Eukaryota; Viridiplantae; Streptophyta; Magnoliopsida; Caryophyllales; Amaranthaceae
Exons: 3
Source: RefSeq, a predicted model, not a curated record
GGAAUGUUAAUUACGGACUUGCCAUUUUGUUCUGAUAUUCCCCCUUUUCUUCUUCCCUGGUUUUCACUUUUUCUAACUCGCCCAUUAGUUUUCUUCUCUCUCAUCAUUUUCUUUGUCCUCCUCUUCCUCGUCCUUCUCCAUUAAAGCAACUCCAGAGGUACGAUAGUUUUACUUUUACGCACCUUUCACUUUCUCUCUCCUCCCUCCAUUGAAGCCUACUUCGAGUUUUCCAUUGAAGCGGAUUCUAAGCUUUCUAUCCUCCAUUGAAGCUUCUUCUGAGUUGAACGCUUUGCCUUUGGUGAAGGUGUUAGUGAGCUGGGUGUAUCUGGUGUGAAGGAUCUCUUCUGUAUGUAGUUGUUCGUAAUAUUUAGAAAUGGAGAAUGCAGAUGAACUUGAAACUGCAAUUGCGAGAUAUAAAAACUUUCGUAAAGUUCAUAAACGUAUCACAGAUGUGCUGAAACUAGGAAUUUUGGGGAUUCAGGAAGAAAUUUUCCAGAAGAAGGCUAAGGUUGAUUUGGUGUUGAGAAAUGCUGCAAAAGGUGUGCAAAAUGCAAUUGAUCAAGCACCUAUUAUGUUGUACAACCGUGUUAGGUUCCUAAAUUGAGUGGAGCAAGUCACAAACAAAGGUAGUUCACAGUUUGAAAGAUUAGAAGAAGAUAAGAAGAAAGAGAAGGAGAAAAUGGAAUUGGUUCUGAUGAAGUAUAACAAGAAGGCAAUUUAUAGGUGUUAAUGAAUUAUUUUGGAAAAGUUGUAUGUACCGGUAGUGAACAACAUAGUAGGGAUUAAAAUUAUAGUUUUUAGGGAAGAGAUGUAUUAUGUAUUUUGAAUAUUAUAUAUAGGAAGCUAAGACUUAACUGUUUUAGUAAUGGUUUGGGGGCUUUGCAACAUGUUAGUUAGAUUUUAGUAGGAAGUUUAAUAGGUUGCAAUUUUUGUAAAAAAAUGGAAAUGAAUAUCUAAUUAUUCUCUUCCCCCCGAUUUUUGUAAUGUUUAUUGAAUGAUAAGUAUGAUAUGAAUAAAAUAGUUAUGAUUUGUCAAA